CAUGCAAGUUGCGGGGCAGCAUGGGGGUUGCUUGCAAUCCCCGAUGGCGACCGGCGCACGGGUGAGUAACGCGUAUCCAACCUGCCCUUCACCACGGGAUAACCCGGCGAAAGUCGGACUAAUACCGUAUGUUGUCCAUUGACGGCAUCCGAUUUGGACGAAAGGCUUUGCGGUGAGGGAUGGGGAUGCGUCCGAUUAGCUGGACGGCGGGGUAACGGCCCACCGUGGCUACGAUCGGUAGGGGUUCUGAGAGGAAGGUCCCCCACACUGGAACUGAGACACGGUCCAGACUCCUACGGGAGGCAGCAGUGAGGAAUAUUGGUCAAUGGGCGCAAGCCUGAACCAGCCAAGUAGCGUGCAGGAUGACGGCCCUAUGGGUUGUAAACUGCUUUUAUGCGGGGAUAAAGUGACCCACGUGUGGGUUUUUGCAGGUACCGCAUGAAUAAGGACCGGCUAAUUCCGUGCCAGCAGCCGCGGUAAUACGGAAGGUCCGGGCGUUAUCCGGAUUUAUUGGGUUUAAAGGGAGCGUAGGCCGCGCCUUAAGCGUGUUGUGAAAUCCGGUUGCUCAACAUCCGGCUUGCAGCGCGAACUGGGGCGCUUGAGUGCGCUGAAAGUAGGCGGAAUUCGUGGUGUAGCGGUGAAAUGCUUAGAUAUCACGAGGAACUCCGAUUGCGAAGGCAGCCUACUGUAGCGCUACUGACGCUGAUGCUCGAAAGCGUGGGUAUCGAACAGGAUUAGAUACCCUGGUAGUCCACGCGGUAAACGAUGGAUGCUCGUUGUCGGCCCUUUGGGUCGGUGACCAAGCGAAAGCGUUAAGCAUCCCA
This 824-nucleotide ribosomal RNA is filed under the name uncultured Bacteroidota bacterium. Its description in RNAcentral is "bacterial SSU rRNA". It matches the Rfam family "Bacterial small subunit ribosomal RNA", at positions 54 to 871 of the family's 1533-position model. Lineage: Bacteria; Pseudomonadati; Bacteroidota. The record is from RNAcentral.